GAUGAACGCUGGCGGCGUGCCUAAUACAUGCAAGUCGAGCGAACGGACGAGAAGCUUGCUUCUCUGAUGUUAGCGGCGGACGGGUGAGUAACACGUGGAUAACCUACCUAUAAGACUGGGAUAACUUCGGGAAACCGUAGCUAAUACCGGAUAAUAUUUUGAACCGCAUGGUUCAAAAGUGAAAGACGGUCUUGCUGUCACUUAUAGAUGGAUCCGCGCUGCAUUAGCUAGUUGGUAAGGUAACGGCUUACCAAGGCAACGAUGCAUAGCCGACCUGAGAGGGUGGUCGGCCACACUGGAACUGAGACACGGUCCAGACUCCUACGGGAGGCAGCAGUAGGGAAUCUUCCGCAAUGGGCGAAAGCCUGACGGUGCAACGCCGCGUGAGUGAUGAAGGUCUUCGGAUCGUAAAACUCUGUUAUUAGGGAAGAACAUAUGUGUAAGUAACUGUGCACAUCUUGACGGUACCUAAUCAGAAAGCCACGGCUAACUACGUG
This 497-nucleotide ribosomal RNA is filed under the name uncultured bacterium. Its description in RNAcentral is "partial 16S ribosomal RNA". It matches the Rfam family "Bacterial small subunit ribosomal RNA", at positions 28 to 507 of the family's 1533-position model. The record is from RNAcentral.